CGGGCUUCGGCCUGGUGCCGAGUGGCGAACGGGUAAGUAAUACAUCGGAACGUACCCAGAAGUGGGGGAUAACGUAGCGAAAGUUACGCUAAUACCGCAUACGUUCUACGGAAGAAAGUGGGGGAUCGCAAGACCUCAUGCUUUUGGAACGGCCGAUGUCUGAUUAGCUAGUUGGUGAGGUAAAGGCUCACCAAGGCGACGAUCAGUAGCUGGUCUGAAGAGGCCGCCACCCCUGGUCUGAGUCUCGGUCCAGACUCCUACGGGAGGCAGCAGUGGGGAAUUUUGGACAAUGGGCGCAAGCCUGAUCCAGCAAUGCCGCGUGAGUGAAGAAGGCCUUCGGGUUGUAAAGCUCUUUUGUGCAGGGAAGAACGGCAGGAGGCUAAUUCCUUUGCUAAUGGCGG
Molecule: ribosomal RNA, 401 nt
Filed under: uncultured bacterium
Lineage: Bacteria
Description: bacterial SSU rRNA
Rfam family: Bacterial small subunit ribosomal RNA
Source: RNAcentral